CACAGUUUUGCCCAGCGCCGCCUUGGACCUGAGGUGGCGUCUCUAGCCAUGGACAGUCUCUGCCGUGGAGUGUUUGCAGGCAACAGCCGUGAGCUCAGCAUCAGGUCCUGCUUUCCCAGUCUCUUCCAAGCUGAGCAAACCCAUCGUUCCAUAUUACUGGGCCUGCUGCUGGGGGCAGGGCGGACCCCACAGCCAGAUUCAGCACUCAUUCGCCAGGCCUUGGCUGAGCGCUGGAGCCAGUGGUCACUUCGUGGAGGUCUAGAGAUGUUGCCUCAGGCCCUUGAAACCCACCUGACUAGUAGGGGGGUCAGUGUUCUCAGAGGCCAGCCGGUCUGUGGGCUCAGCCUCCAGGCAGAAGGGCGCUGGAAGGUAGGGGAACCCCUGGAGUGUAAUGAACCUGUCAGUGUUUCCAUCUUUAUCCAAGUGGCUUAACUAGGCCAGGGCCGAUAGGACUGGAGUUCCUCAUUGUUUUUGUGCCUUAGAAGCUACUUAGACAUGGGCUACCCGAGAAUCCUAGGCCCUAUUUGUGAACCUUCCUCAAAGAGCCUAUGCAAGUCUGUGGAUAGAAGUAGUACUUAUAAGUGGCUUAGAGAUAGGGGAAAGAACCCAGCUUCACUGAACAUUUCAGAACAGCCACACUGGCCUGUCUGGUCCACUUCCUGGAGUACACAGAGGAAUGAUUUUUUGUGAAGUCUACAUAGUCACCCAAUCUCUUCAUCCUGGGUCAGUACACAGUCUCCCCGGCCACAUGGGUGCCUGGGAAACAGAGUGAGGCACCAGAAGUCUCUUUUCACUCAUCAAAUUCUCAUUUUCUGGGUCUCUCAAAUGUUUUCAUGCUCUCAGGUAUCUCUAAGGGACAGCAGUCUGGAGGCUGACCACGUUAUUAGUGC
RNAcentral lists this small RNA (890 nucleotides) under Pan troglodytes (chimpanzee). RNAcentral's name for it is "retained intron". Lineage: Eukaryota; Metazoa; Chordata; Mammalia; Primates; Hominidae. The record is from RNAcentral.